RNAcentral lists this ribosomal RNA (254 nucleotides) under uncultured bacterium. RNAcentral describes it as "partial 16S ribosomal RNA". It matches the Rfam family "Bacterial small subunit ribosomal RNA", at positions 524 to 776 of the family's 1533-position model. The record is from RNAcentral.
UACAGAGGUCCCAAGCGUUGUUCGGAUUCACUGGGCGUAAAGGGUGCGUAGGCGGUCGGGUAAGUCUGAUGUGAAAUCUCACAGCUUAACUGUGAAACUGCAUUGGAUACUAUUCGGCUAGAGAGUUGGAGGGGGGACUGGAAUUCUUGGUGUAGCAGUGAAAUGCGUAGAUAUCAAGAGGAACACCAGUGGCGAAGGCGGCUCACUGGUCCGGUACUGACGCUGAGGUGCGAAAGCGUGGGGGAGCAAACAGG